RNAcentral lists this ribosomal RNA (460 nucleotides) under uncultured bacterium. RNAcentral's name for it is "partial 16S ribosomal RNA". It matches the Rfam family "Bacterial small subunit ribosomal RNA", at positions 338 to 795 of the family's 1533-position model. The record is from RNAcentral.
CCUACGGGAGACAGCAGUGAGGAAUAUUGGUCAAUGGACGAGAGUCUGAACCAGCCAAGUAGCGUGAAGGAUGACUGCCCUAUGGGUUGUAAACUUCUUUUAUAUGGGAAUAAAAUGUUCCACGUGUGGGAUUUUGUAUGUACCAUAUGAAUAAGGAUCGGCUAACUCCGUGCCAGCAGCCGCGGUAAUACGGAGGAUCCGAGCGUUAUCCGGAUUUAUUGGGUUUAAAGGGAGCGUAGGUGGAUUGUUAAGUCAGUUGUGAAAGUUUGCGGCUCAACCGUAAAAUUGCAGUUGAAACUGGCAGUCUUGAGUACAGUAGAGGUGGGCGGAAUGCGUGGUGUAGCGGUGAAAUGCUUAGAUAUCGCGAAGAACUCCGAUUGCGAAGGCAGUUCACUGGACUGCAACUGACACUGAGGCUCGAAAGUGUGGGUAUCAAACAGGAUUAGAUACCCGAGUAGUC